GGAUGGGUGGCCGAGUGGUUGAAGGCAGCGGUCUUGAAAACCGCCAGGCGGGCAACCGUCUCGUGGGUUCGAAUCCCACCCCAUCCGCCA
RNAcentral lists this transfer RNA (90 nucleotides) under Kaustia mangrovi. Its description in RNAcentral is "Alphaproteobacteria bacterium R1DC25 tRNA-Ser". It matches the Rfam family "tRNA". From Rfam's summary of the family: Transfer RNA (tRNA) molecules are approximately 80 nucleotides in length. Their secondary structure includes four short double-helical elements and three loops (D, anti-codon, and T loops). The record is from RNAcentral. Lineage: Bacteria; Pseudomonadati; Pseudomonadota; Alphaproteobacteria; Hyphomicrobiales; Parvibaculaceae. RNAcentral also lists the same sequence under 1 other name.